GACGAACGCUGGCGGCGUGCUUAACACAUGCAAGUCGAACGGAAAGGCCCUGCUUUUGUGGGGUGCUCGAGUGGCGAACGGGUGAGUAACACGUGAGUAACCUGCCCUUGACUUUGGGAUAACUUCAGGAAACUGGGGCUAAUACCGGAUAGGAGCUCCUGCUGCAUGGUGGGGGUUGGAAAGUUUCGGUGGUUGGGUAUGGACUUGCGGCUUCUCGGCUUGUUGGUGGGGUAGUGUUGUACCAAGGCUCUGCCGCGUAGACGAGCUGAGAGGGGAACAGGCCAAGUUAGAGCGGGGAUGAGACCCGGACUCAUACGGGAGGCGAGGGUGCAGAGGGGUGCACAAUGGGAGGAGGCCUGGUGUAACGACGCCGCGUGCGGGAAAUGGGCCUUCGGGUAGUAAAGCACUUUCGUCUGUGACGGAGCGUGAGUGACGGUAAUGGGUGAAGAAGCACCGGCUAACUACGUG
Molecule: ribosomal RNA, 468 nt
Filed under: uncultured bacterium
Lineage: Bacteria
Description: partial 16S ribosomal RNA
Rfam family: Bacterial small subunit ribosomal RNA
Source: RNAcentral